RNAcentral lists this transfer RNA (59 nucleotides) under Cercartetus concinnus. RNAcentral's name for it is "tRNA-Ser". The record is from RNAcentral. Lineage: Eukaryota; Metazoa; Chordata; Mammalia; Diprotodontia; Burramyidae.
GAGAAAGUUACAAGAACUGCUAACUCUUGGUUCCAUAUGUAACAAAUAUGGCUUUCUUA